GUCAUUCCUUUGACAUGCUGCUAAGAGGAAGGAAGACGGCUCCUGUGUGGACUCAGAAGACGCAACUUGAUUACCUGGUAGUCCAGGGGCCAAAGGUGGACCUGGAGUUCAAGGUGAGCCUGGUCCCAGAAGUCAUGCCGGCAUGUCCGUUGACCCUUGACCUUUGGUUUUGUCGGGACUCCUGAUGACGUUUUGAGACAUCUACAAGUACAGCACCAGAAUUGUGCUGCUGAAGCAAGUCUGUUUUUCUUCCUUUUUUUUCCCGUGGGCAGUAGACAAUGUGUAAUUACAACGUAAUAGUGUAAUAACAAUGGUGUAGGUUCAGGCUGUGGGCAGUAGACAAUGUGUAAUAACAAACAGCGCCAGGGGUUUGUAAACUCAAUAAAGCAACUACACUAGAAUGCAAAAUAUAUAUAUUGUAAUAUCCCAGGAAUGUAGACUUAUACAACUUCUUUGUUUGUCAUGUCUUUAUUGUAAAAUAUGCGAUUCAACCACACAACAACCCCAAUGUCUCCCUUCUUUUCCCAGCAAAACACUUUUUUUUUUUUAAUAAACCUUCAUUUAUAAUAUCCAACAUUUACAUACAAGCAAAUAAAUAAUAAUCAAAAUAAGUACAGAAACACUACAAAAACAGUACAAAACAGUGCCAGGGGGUUUUGUUUUCACAGCUUUUUGGUUAGAGGUAGAAAUUGUUCUAAAAUUUCCCGGCAAUACUUGAACUCUUUACCUUCUUGUUAACGUCACUUCCCUUUUUGUCCCCGGAAGUCCCGCCUCCCAGCCAAAGUCAUUGGCUAACACCCCGGAGCCAGCCGCUACAAUAUGUAGCAAUGCAAUUGGCUUAAUGGUUUACAAUUAUCAAUCAAAUCUUGGAGAAUGAUUAAGUGAUUUAGGUAGCCCUUUUUUUCUUUUCAUGUUUUUUUAUAUUUUUUAUAACUGUUUAUUAAUUAAUUCUCUAUCUGUAUUUGCUUUUUUUUUUCUUCUUUCCUCGAUGUUGAAAGUGCCUUGAGUUUUGUGUGAAUUAUAAAUGUAUGU
Molecule: long non-coding RNA, 1032 nt
Organism: Entelurus aequoreus (snake pipefish)
Lineage: Eukaryota; Metazoa; Chordata; Actinopteri; Syngnathiformes; Syngnathidae
Exons: 4
Source: RefSeq, a predicted model, not a curated record